RNAcentral lists this unclassified non-coding RNA (183 nucleotides) under Glomeraceae sp. Its description in RNAcentral is "partial internal transcribed spacer 2". The stretch from base 1 to 71 matches the Rfam family "5.8S ribosomal RNA", at positions 84 to 154 of the family's 154-position model. Lineage: Eukaryota; Fungi; Glomeromycota; Glomeromycetes; Glomerales; Glomeraceae. The record is from RNAcentral.
GUGAAGCAUCGAAUUUUUGAACGCAAAUUGCACUCCCUGCUAUUCCGGGGCGUAUGUGUGUUUGAGGGUCGUCAGAAUAAAAAAUCGAGGCGUCGCUCUUUUUUUUAAGGGUGAUCGCGUCGGUAUUGAGUCGUCUUUCAAUUGUUAACUCAUGUCAAAGUGGCUUGAAAUUCAACCAUCCGG